RNAcentral lists this ribosomal RNA (996 nucleotides) under uncultured Lysobacterales bacterium. RNAcentral describes it as "bacterial SSU rRNA". It matches the Rfam family "Bacterial small subunit ribosomal RNA", at positions 9 to 994 of the family's 1533-position model. Lineage: Bacteria; Pseudomonadati; Pseudomonadota; Gammaproteobacteria; Lysobacterales. The record is from RNAcentral.
GAGUUUGAUCGUGGCUCAGAGUGAACGCUGGCGGUAGGCCUAACACAUGCAAGUCGAACGGUAACAGGUCUUUCGGGAUGCUGACGAGUGGCGGACGGGUGAGGAAUACAUCGGAAUCUGCUCAGUCGUGGGGGAUAACGCAUGGAAACGUGCGCUAAUACCGCAUACGACCUUCGGGUGAAAGCAGGGGAAUCUCUCGGGAUCCUUGCGCGAUUGAAUGAGCCGAUGUCGGAUUAGCUAGUUGGUAGGGUAAAAGCCUACCAAGGCCACGAUCCGUAGCUGGUCUGAGAGGAUGAUCAGCCACACUGGGACUGAGACACGGCCCAGACUCCUGCGGGAGGCAGCAGUGGGGAAUAUUGGACAAUGGGGGCAACCCUGAUCCAGCCAUACCGCGUGGGUGAAGAAGGCCUUCUGGGAUGUAAAGCCCUUUUGUUGGGGAAGAAAAACAACGGGUUAAUACCCCGUUGGUAUGACGGUACCCAAAGAAUAAGCACCGGCUAACUUCGUGCCAGCAGCCGCGGUAAUACGAAGGGUGCAAGCGUUACUCGGAAUUACUGGGCGUAAAGGGUGCGUAGGUGGUUGCGCCAGUCUGUCGUGAAAGCCCUGGGCUUAACCUGGGAAUAGCGAUGGAAACUGUGCAACUAGAGUGUGACAGAGGGUGGUGGAAUUCCUGGUGUAGCAGUGAAAUGCGUAGAGAUCAGGAGGAACAUUCGUGGCGAAGGCGGCCACCUGGGUCAACACUGACACUGAGGCACGAAAGCGUGGGGAGCAAACAGGAUUAGAUACCCUGGUAGUCCACGCCCUAAACGAUGCGAACUGGAUGUUGGGUCCAACUUGGGAUUCAGUAUCGAAGCUAACGCGUUAAGUUCGCCGCCUGGGGAGUACGGUCGCAAGACUGAAACUCAAAGGAAUUGACGGGGGCCCGCACAAGCGGUGGAGUAUGUGGUUUAAUUCGAUGCAACGCGCAGAACCUUACCUGGCCUUGACAUGCACGGA